UUUUCCUACGGGAGGCAGCAGUGAGGAAUAUUGGUCAAUGGGCGGGAGCCUGAACCAGCCAAGCCGCGUGAAGGAAGAAGGCGCCAGGCGUCGUAAACUUCUUUUGUCGGGGAACAAAGGGCGCCACGCGUGGCGUUGUGAGUGUACCCGAAGAAAAAGCAUCGGCUAACUCCGUGCCAGCAGCCGCGGUAAUACGGAGGAUGCGAGCGUUAUCCGGAUUUAUUGGGUUUAAAGGGUGCGUAGGCGGAUUUUUAAGUCAGCGGUAAAAUGUCCGGGCUCAACCCGGGCCGGCCGUUGAAACUGGG
This 305-nucleotide ribosomal RNA is filed under the name uncultured bacterium. Its description in RNAcentral is "bacterial SSU rRNA". It matches the Rfam family "Bacterial small subunit ribosomal RNA", at positions 334 to 637 of the family's 1533-position model. The record is from RNAcentral.